UAUAAUAGCAUACCCGUGACAAUAUAAUUUUCUAAUAGUCGUGCGACUGCUGCUGCUGCCGCUGCACGCGACCUGCCGUAUACAUAUAAGAGGCGAUGGCAUAAUCGUGGUGCACUUUUGCCGGGUGCUGGAAAAACCAGACAGGUAUAUUUGUAUCAGUUAAUUCAAUUUGUAUAAUUCGUACCGGUGUUUCAGAACAAUGCGAUAAAACCGUUGCGAAGGGUUCUGGAUCCAUUCGGUUCCAGGACACAAGGAUCGCAGGUAGACGAGAAACCUAUUUAUGGGGUGUGGACCUCUAUUGUAAUACAACGGGUCAUUUCACCGACUCUGUAUAGUAACGACACCGGUGUGCAUUUCGGUUUUCCCCCGACCUUUAUUCGAUUAAUUUGAAUGUUUUAAAAAAUUUUCUACAUCCAGAUUAUAGCACGUGUCACUUAUUCCGGGUAAAAGCGAUUUGUCGAGUUUACAAUUUCCCGGAGACGCGGGAUUCAAAUGUCGAGGUGAAUUUUUUCAAAAUUUACAAACAUCCGCGAGGUACGGUAAGUUGUAGGCGUGUGUGUGUGUGUGCGGUACGUUGUAACGUAUAUAUUUAUAUUUGGUAAAGGUUUACCUUGUAUAAAUAAAAGAUUGCACUUCUUGAUAUGGCACAAUUUGUGUUAUGCUACAAUUUAUAAUACCGCACACAGCACAUCUGUAAUGUGUAAUCUCUGAACGCGUUAUCGCAUGUUUUACUAUACGACGCAUUCUUAAAAUUGUUGCCUAUACAUCUGGCGGAGUUUGUACGUACGUUAUGUACGCAACAUGCAGCGCAAUUACUGCAGCAGCGUACCUGGCACCAGAUCGCAGAGACAUACGAACACGGUACGAGUCGUAAUCUCGUUAAUCAGAUCUGUUGAAAAUAUCAAUAGCCUGGUAAUAUACUGGACUAAAAAUACACAUCACAAUAAUUAGUGACAUACGUACCUUGUAUAUGGUUAAAAAAUAUGAACAAAUAAGGUGUACUUACACAUGGUACGUUGAAUAUUGACGGAAAUUUUUGGCACCAACGUAACGGCUCUUUUACGUAGUCCACGUAAUUUUUUUUUUCGUUUUUUUCAAACGCAUAUUCCGUACGUUUUGCAUAAUUACAUGUGCGUACAUAGAUGUAUAAUGUAAAGUUGGACUCAAUUUUAUCUUGCAAUACUUCACAUUGCCCAAUAUGCGAUCAGCAAUAACAAUUAUUUGAAAAUUUCGAGGAAUUUGUAAUACAACGCGACGACGACUCAUAAAACUCAUAUGUGCGUACAUGUUUUGAUUCCAAAAAUGAUGUUAUAUUAUCUAAUUAUCUUGUGAAAUCCGUUGAACAGAUUUAUUCACUCGCUACGAGCUUAUAAAUAUCAUUAACUGUUUCUGUUCGAGUAAAAUCAACUUAUUGUCAAGACCCCGCACGAAAAGGCGGGCAGCCGAAGUUACUCGAUUACAUAGCUAUAAUGCCUUGUUUAAUCGUAAUUAGCACUUCCUUAUUAUACAGCCCUCGUUAUAGACUUAUUUAUACGAAUAAAUAAAAACUCAUCUAGGUUGGAAAAUUCGAAUUUAACUGGAAGCCUGCAAUUUUUCUGAUGGUAUUUUCAAGAGAAUCAGGAUUUACAUGGAUCUUUAGGCACCCAAGAAGAUUCCGGAAAAUUUUCGUUGCACUAAGAGUAAAUGUACAGUCACAAUCAAAUUACGGGCUUACCUCGCUUCCAUUUUUCAGAGGUGAAAAUUUGUUCUACGUUAGUCCGCACUUCCGCAGCCUCCUCACAAUUCAUGAAAAUCAUCGAUUCCCAUAUCCUUCUGAUUGUGAGUCAGAGUCAGGGCAGAGUCUGCAAGAACAGUAGGGAUUCAUGCCUAUUUCGAAAAGCCCAGGAUCUAAAGUUUGUUUGCAUGCACGGAAAUCAUUACAUAUAUCGCCGUGAAUUACCGUCAUUGUUUGUUCGCUCCGUUGAUUUACGACAUCUGUAGUGGAUUUGCAUUCCUUAAAUAAUGAUUUGAACAAAUCUCGAGUCCACGAAGCUCCUGGGGCAGUGAUAAAUAAUUAAUUUAACGCGACGACAUACGUAUGUAUAACGUACGUAC
Athalia rosae (coleseed sawfly) is the source of this 2094-nucleotide long non-coding RNA. RefSeq lists it as uncharacterized. Lineage: Eukaryota; Metazoa; Arthropoda; Insecta; Hymenoptera; Athaliidae. The transcript is spliced from 2 exons. The record is from RefSeq and is a predicted model, not a curated record.